UACGUAGGGGGCAAGCGUUGUUCGGAAUUACUGGGCGUAAAGGGCUUGUAGGUGGCCAACUAAGUCAGACGUGAAAUCCCUCGGCUUAACCGGGGAACUGCGUCUGAUACUGGAUGGCUGGAGUGUGGGAGAGGGAUGCGGAAUUCCAGGUGUAGCGGUGAAAUGCGUAGAUAUCUGGAGGAACACCGGUGGCGAAGGCGGCAUCCUGGACCAUUACUGACACUGAAAAGCGAAAGCCAGGGGAGCAAACGGG
Molecule: ribosomal RNA, 253 nt
Filed under: uncultured bacterium
Lineage: Bacteria
Description: partial 16S ribosomal RNA
Rfam family: Bacterial small subunit ribosomal RNA
Source: RNAcentral